GAUAAACGCUGGCGGCGUGCAUGAGACAUGCAAGUCGAACGGACGAUCGAGGCUUGCUUCGACCGUUAGUGGCGGACGGCUGAGUAACGCGUAGGUGACCUGCCCCGAAGUGGGGAAUAACUGCCCGAAAGGGUGGCUAAUACCGCAUGUGGUGGUGUGUUCAAUCACACCAGUAAAGCCGCAAGGCGCUUCGGGAGGGGCCUGCGUCCGAUUAGCUCGUUGGUGGGGUAACGGCNCACCAAGGCGACGAUCGGUAGGUGGUCUGAGAGGACGAUCACCCAGACUGGGACUGAGACACGGCCCAGACUCCUACGGGAGGCAGCAGUCGGGAAUUUUGCGCAAUGGACGAAAGUCUGACGCAGCAACGCCGCGUGAGGGAUGAAGGCC
Molecule: ribosomal RNA, 387 nt
Filed under: uncultured bacterium
Lineage: Bacteria
Description: bacterial SSU rRNA
Rfam family: Bacterial small subunit ribosomal RNA
Source: RNAcentral